AAAGAAGGGAUAACAGCAGGUGAGCAUAUGAAAUCCUCAGUGUGAACCUUGGGGGGGUUUACUUGGAAAAGGGGUAGCGAGAAAUUGCAGAAUCUAGGGGAGACGCCUCCAUUAUCAGUUCUUUUCUACAGGCGUUGUUUUUACCUAACCCUACCAUUUGCCGAUCUUCCAUUUAGGGUUUUUCGCUUUAAGCGAAGAACAGUGUAAAUAGUAUCCCUAUCCCUAUCCCUCCGAUGCACCAAGGGAAUUGAAAAUAGAGUAAAAAAAAAAAAGAGGUGAAAAAUUUGUCUGUAUUAAAUAGGUAAUUCUGUUGUUUUGCAUGUUUGUCCACUCAGGAGCAGAGCUGUUCGGGGAAAAAGCAUGUACAGUAUGAUCACUAAAUGCAGUGCUGGGGAUUGCCAAAUAUUCUUGAUGUCACGGUCUUCACCAAUGGCACCACAGUUUCUUUGAAACUGCUCAAGGUCUAGAUUUCUAUUUACUGCUGCACCUGAGCUUUUUAUAUUUAAGCGUGUCUAUAGAUAUUGGUCUAGUAGAUAGAAAUGGAAGCAAAAAUCGCAAAGGCAUUGGAUAGGGUUGCGCCCAAUCUGAAACGCAAGCGAGCGACCCGAUAUGCUGCACUUUUUAGUGGAGCUUCACAAUCAAUUUUGGGCCAUUGGCCAUCGUGUGUGUCCCCAACGAGCAGGGUUGCCAAACGGAUGAGAUUUGGUGGAUGUAGAAACAAGUUGACAAAUGCUGGUCCUCAUAUUGGGCAGUCCUUAGUUAGGCGUUUUUCAAAUUAUAAAAAGAGUGGGAGACUGGAGCGUUUGAUGUUCUAUAGGAAUGGUGAAUGGCUUGACCUUCCUAAGGAUGUUGUCGACUUGGUUAAGAAGGAUCUUGAAGUCAAGAAGGUAGCUGUGGAGAUAGAGUUAAAUGGGUAUCAUCUUGUAUUUGAUUUUUUACAUCUGCACAAGGUGGACUUGAAAACUGGCUUGCAACAACCUAUAGCUUGGAUUGAUGAUGCAGGUCACUGUUUUUUUCCAGAAGUCUAUACUUACUCUGACGAGGAACCUUACAAUACCAAUGAACAGGAAAAUGGAAAAAGUCCCGACUCAUAUGCAUCUAAUGAAAUAAAGCUACAUUUAGAAGUUGAAAUCAAUGGAGUGGAUGAAUCCAGAUUGAGUGAGUGUAGUGGGGAGUCCAAUGCUCUAGUUAAGGGUAUUCAAAUUGAUACUAAACAAAAUUAUUGUCAAUAUGAUGUAGAAGUUGAAGAUAGCAUUAACAAACAGGACUGCAGAAAUGUUGGUGAAGCUAUUCAGCACAAUCAAGGCAUAGGUUUAGAUGCUUAUACCGAAUCAAUAUAUGGAAAUUUGGAUUUAAAUUCUGUACAAAAGAUGUUUCUCAAGGGAAUGAGUAGUUUUGGCAGUUCUGAUUCCGACAUAUCUGAGAUUUACCACUGCUCAGGUGCGUCAAUGCAAGCUCGAUGGGAGCUUUUCCAGAAGCAAGCUGAAAUCACAAAAAAAAUUCAUGGGGAAGCAAACAUUCGGUAUGCUUGGCUUGCUUUUUCUAAAAGAGAUCUGUCUACAAUGAUGGAGUAUGGACUUGGUCAUUGUGGACUAUCUGGACCAAAGUGCACAUAUGGCAUUGGUGUUCAUCUUGCUGCUGCUUCCUGCCCUGAUGCCAGUGUACGUUAUUGUGAUGUUGACGAAAAUGGGGUUCGACACUUGGCCCUCUGUCGUGUAAUAAUGGGGAACAUGGAGAUUCUCUGUCCUGGCAGUGGUCAGUUUCAACCCAGUAGUUGUGAAUAUGAUAGUGGGGUGGAUGAUAUUCAGUGUCCGCGAUACUAUGUUGUAUGGAAUAUGAACAUGAACACCCAUAUCUAUCCCGAAUUUGUUAUUAGCUUCAAGGUCCCUUCUGAUGCUGAAGGUCAUUUUUGUGGACAUAAGGUUAAUACAGCCUCUCGCAGUCCUCUUGGCCUCUCGGAGACAUCCGCAAUAGAUAAUGGAAAAGCUCAUAGUGUAGUUGCUAGCACUCCAAAAGUCCCGAAAUCCCCUUGGAUGCCUCUACCUGUGCUUUUUGCUGCUAUCAGAAAUCAGGUUCCGUCCAAGGAUAUGAAUCAUAUCAAAACACAUUAUGAACAAUUCAGGUCAAAGCAGAUAUCCCGGGAUGAUUUUGUGAAGAUGCUGAGGUUAAUAGUUGGAGACGCUCUGUUGAGAGCUACAAUAAAUGAUCUUCAAUACAAGAUACCUUCUAACGGGGGAUUAGAUGACUCAAUCAAGAAGGAAGGCUAAGGCUGUUUUCCUAAUGGAAGAUGAAGUUAUGGAUUUAUUUUCAAAAGAAAAUUACAACUUCAGAGGUUGGGUUGAAGUUGACUCCUUGAGGUCAGAUUUUUGUUGAAAGGGUUGUUCUUCAGAUCAUCGUUGCACUCUUCUAUUCAAUUCAUCGUUAGGUUCCGUUCACAUGGCAUGCGAAAUCAUGAUGAAGAAAAAAUUUGGAGAAUGUACAGAGAUUGCAUUUAAGCAACAGUUUGCAAUGCUAGACUCAUUUUUGAGAGAUCAUAGGAAUGCAUGGGCAAUUCAAGUUUUGAACCAGCUCCCUAAUGAAAACCCUAUUAAAGUUUAUUCAGUUUCAGUUCAAGAUAAAUAUAGUAAAGUAUGAUCAUUCCGCAGAUUCUAGGUUGUUUAAGGUGUGUUUGAAUUAAUGUUAUAUUGGGUGUAUCAUUCAGUUGAAGGUACUUGAAACUAUUUUAAGUUAAACAAAUACAUUUAGUAGUGAGAUAAGGAGUCAUUAGCAUUUAAUAGGUGGCUCAGAAAUAGUGAACAUGAACAGUGUUAUUAUCUAGUUAGAUUGUAAAGUGGUGGAAGAGAGAAUUGUUGGCAACUGAG
Molecule: RNA transcript, 2861 nt
Organism: Vigna radiata var. radiata (mung bean)
Lineage: Eukaryota; Viridiplantae; Streptophyta; Magnoliopsida; Fabales; Fabaceae
Gene name: inactive poly [ADP-ribose] polymerase RCD1-like
Exons: 10
Source: RefSeq, a predicted model, not a curated record